This 465-nucleotide ribosomal RNA is filed under the name uncultured bacterium. RNAcentral describes it as "partial 16S ribosomal RNA". It matches the Rfam family "Bacterial small subunit ribosomal RNA", at positions 28 to 507 of the family's 1533-position model. The record is from RNAcentral.
GACGAACGCUGGCGGCGUGCUUAACACAUGCAAGUCGUACGGUAAGGCCCUUUCGGGGGUACACGAGUGGCGAACGGGUGAGUAACACGUGAGUAACCUGCCCACAACUUUGGGAUAACGCUAGGAAACUGGUGCUAAUACUGGAUAUGUGCUCCUGCUGCAUGGUGGGGGUUGGAAAGCUCCGGCGGUUGUGGAUGGACUCGCGGCCUAUCAGCUUGUUGGUGGGGUAGUGGCCUACCAAGGCGGCGACGGGUAGCCGGCCUGAGAGGGUGACCGGCCACGUAGGGACUAGGACACAGCCCAGACUAGCACGGGAGGCAGCCGCGGGGAAGAGUGCACCAUGGGCGGAAGCCUAAUGCAGCAACACCGCGUGCGGGAGGACGGCCUUCGGGUUGGAAAGCGCUUGCAGCAGGGACGAAGCUGUUUGCGACGGUACCUACAGAAGAAAGACCGGCUCACUACGUG